RNAcentral lists this ribosomal RNA (450 nucleotides) under uncultured bacterium. Its description in RNAcentral is "partial 16S ribosomal RNA". It matches the Rfam family "Bacterial small subunit ribosomal RNA", at positions 354 to 796 of the family's 1533-position model. The record is from RNAcentral.
GUGGGGAAUAUUGGACAAUGGGCGCAAGCCUGAUCCAGCCAUACCGAGUGGGUGAAGAAGGCCUUCGGGUUGUAAAGCCCUUUUGUUGGGAAAGAAAUCCUGUCGGUUAAUACCUGGCGGGGAUGACGGUACCCAAAGAAUAAGCACCGGCUAACUUCGUGCCAGCAGCCGCGGUAAUACGAAGGGUGCAAGCGUUACUCGGAAUUACUGGGCGUAAAGCGUGCGUAGGUGGUGGUUUAAGUCCGUUGUGAAAGCCCUGGGCUCAACCUGGGAAUUGCAGUGGAUACUGGAUCACUAGAGUGUGGUAGAGGGAUGCGGAAUUUCUGGUGUAGCAGUGAAAUGCGUAGAGAUCAGAAGGAACAUCCGUGGCGAAGGCGGCAUCCUGGGCCAACACUGACACUGAGGCACGAAAGCGUGGGGAGCAAACAGGAUUAGAAACCCGGGUAGUCC